Molecule: ribosomal RNA, 768 nt
Filed under: uncultured delta proteobacterium
Lineage: Bacteria; Deltaproteobacteria
Description: bacterial SSU rRNA
Rfam family: Bacterial small subunit ribosomal RNA
Source: RNAcentral
AACGAACGUUAGCGGCGCGCUUAACACAUGCAAGUCGCACGAGAAAGGGCUUCGGCCCCGGUACAGUGGCGCACGGGUGAGUAACACGUGGGUAAUCUUCCCUCUGGCGGGGGAUAACCUUCCGAAAGGAGGGCUAAUACCGCAUAAGACCACGACUCCGAAAGGAGACGAGGUUAAAGCUGGCCUCUAUACAUAAGCUAGCACCAGAGGAUGAGCCCGCGGCCCAUCAGGUAGUUGGUAGGGUAACGGCCUACCAAGCCUAAGACGGGUAGCUGGUCUGAGAGGAUGAUCAGCCACACUGGAACUGAGACACGGUCCAGACUCCUACGGGAGGCAGCAGUGGGGAAUCUUGCGCAAUGGACGAAAGUCUGACGCAGCGACGCCGCGUGGGUGAUGAAGGCCUUCGGGUUGUAAAGCCCUGUGGGGAGAGACGAAUAAGUGCGGGCUAAUACUCCGCAUGAUGACGGUAUCUCCUUAGCAAGCACCGGCUAACUCUGUGCCAGCAGCCGCGGUAAGACAGAGGGUGCAAACGUUGUUCGGAAUUACUGGGCGUAAAGCGUGUGUAGGCGGCUAUGUAAGUCGGAUGUGAAAGCCCUGGGCUCAACCCAGGAAGUGCACUCGAUACUGCGUAGCUUGAGUCUCGGAGAGGUUGGUGGAAUUCUCGGUGUAGAGGUGAAAUUCGUAGAUAUCGAGAGGAACACCGGUGGCGAAGGCGGCCAACUGGACGAAGACUGACGCUGAGACACGAAAGCGUGGGGAGCAAACAGG